AGCGGUGGAUCAUGUUGUUUAAUUCGAAGAUACACGAAAAACCUUACCAGGUCUUGACAUACUCUGCAAAGCUAUAGCAAUAUAGUGGAGGUUAUCAGGGAUACAGGUGGUGCAUGGUUGUCGUCAGCUCGUGUCGUGAGAUGUUAGGUUAAGUCCUAAAACGAGCGCAACCCUUGUCAUUAGUUGCCAGCAUGUCAUGAUGGGCACUUUAAUGAGACUGCCAAUGAAAAAUUGGAGGAAGGUGAGGAUCACGUCAAAUCAUCAUGCCCCUUAUGAUCUGGGCUACAAACGUGAUACAAUGGCUGUUACAAAGAGUAGCUGAAA
Molecule: ribosomal RNA, 324 nt
Filed under: Weligama coconut wilt phytoplasma
Lineage: Bacteria; Bacillati; Mycoplasmatota; Mollicutes; Acholeplasmatales; Acholeplasmataceae
Description: bacterial SSU rRNA
Rfam family: Bacterial small subunit ribosomal RNA
Source: RNAcentral